GAUGAAGAACGUAGCGAAAUGCGAUAAGUAAUGUGAAUUGCAGAAUUCAUUGAAUCAUCGAAUCUUUGAACGCACAUUGCGCCCCCUGGUAUUCCGGGGGGCAUGCCUGUUCGAGCGUCAUUUCACCACUCAAGCCUCGCUUGGUAUUGGGCAACGCGGUCCGCCGCGUGCCUCAAAUCGACCGGCUGGGUCUUCUGUCCCCUAAGCGUUGUGGAAACUAUUCGCUAAAGGGUGUUCGGGAGGCUACGCCGUAAAACAACCCCAUUUCUAAGGUUGACCUCGGAUCAGGUAGGGAUACCCGCUGAACUUAAGCAUAUCAAUAAGCGGAGGA
Molecule: unclassified non-coding RNA, 331 nt
Filed under: soil metagenome
Description: partial contains 5.8S ribosomal RNA, internal transcribed spacer 2, and large subunit ribosomal RNA
Rfam family: 5.8S ribosomal RNA (bases 1-120)
Source: RNAcentral